AUGAACGCUAGCGACAGGCCUAACACAUGCAAGUCAGGGGCAGCACAAGGAGCAAUCUGAGGUGGCGACCGGCGCACGGGUGAGUAACACGUAUGCAACCUGCCUGUAAGCGGGGAAUAACCCGUUGAAAGACGGACUAAUACCGCAUAAUACUAAAUUACUGCAUGGUAAUUUAUUUAAACAUUUAUGGCUUACAGAUGGGCAUGCGCAUGAUUAGCUAGUUGGAGAGGUAACGGCUCCCCAAGGCAACGAUCAUUAGGGGUUCUGAGAGGAAGGUCCCCCACACUGGUACUGAGACACGGACCAGACUCCUACGGGAGGCAGCAGUGAGGAAUAUUGGUCAAUGGACGAGAGUCUGAACCAGCCAAGUCGCGUGCAGGAAGAAUGUCCUAUUGGAUUGUAAACUGCUUUUGCAGGGGAAUAAAGUGCAUCACGUGUGAUGUUUUGUAUGUACUCUGCGAAUAAGGAUCGGCUAACUCCGUGCCAGCAGCUGC
RNAcentral lists this ribosomal RNA (494 nucleotides) under uncultured bacterium. RNAcentral describes it as "bacterial SSU rRNA". It matches the Rfam family "Bacterial small subunit ribosomal RNA", at positions 29 to 518 of the family's 1533-position model. The record is from RNAcentral.